RNAcentral lists this ribosomal RNA (520 nucleotides) under uncultured Glomus. RNAcentral describes it as "SSU rRNA". It matches the Rfam family "Eukaryotic small subunit ribosomal RNA", at positions 569 to 1085 of the family's 1831-position model. Lineage: Eukaryota; Fungi; Glomeromycota; Glomeromycetes; Glomerales; Glomeraceae. The record is from RNAcentral.
AGCAGCCGCGGUAAUUCCAGCUCCAAUAGCGUAUAUUAAAGUUGUUGCAGUUAAAAAGCUCGUAGUUGAAUUUCGGGACCAAUCUGCCGGUCGUGCCUCCGGUACGCACUGGUUUUAUUGGUUUCUCCCUUCUGACGAACCAUGAUGUCAUUAAUUUGGUGUCAUGGGGAAUCAGGACUGUUACUUUGAAAAAAUUAGAGUGUUUAUAGCAGGCUCACGCUUGAAUACAUUAGCAUGGAAUAAUGAAAUAGGACGUUUGACCCUAUUUUGUCGGUUUCUAGGAUCGACGUAAUGAUUAAUAGGGAUAGUUGGGGGCAUUAGUAUUCAAUUGUCAGAGGUGAAAUUCUUGGAUUUAUUGAAGACUAACUACUGCGAAAGCAUUUGCCAAGGAUGUUUUCAUUAAUCAAGAACGAAAAGUUAGGGGAUCGAAGACGAUCAGAUACCGUCGUAGUCUUAACCAUAAAACUAUGCCGACUAGGGAUCGGAUGAUGUUAAAUUUUUUUAAAUGACUCAUUCGGCG